Molecule: unclassified non-coding RNA, 369 nt
Filed under: Hevea brasiliensis (rubber tree)
Lineage: Eukaryota; Viridiplantae; Streptophyta; Magnoliopsida; Malpighiales; Euphorbiaceae
Source: RNAcentral
GUAAAGUUACUCUAUUUGUGACCUAGAGGUCACGGGUUUGAGCCAUGGAGACUGCCUUUCUACAAAGCAAGGGUAAGUCUGCACACAUCAACCCUUCCCAGAGCUUGUGGGAUGUUUAAUGAAUUGGGUCACCUGUCUUUUUCAUGUAACACUUAAAACCCUUAUUGUGACUGCACAAGUGCCUUUUUAAUUAUUUAUUUGUAGUUUAUGGGCACUGUUAUAUUAUGGUGGUGCUGUAGUCGAUCUUAUUUGUGGUCCUUAAUUAUAAUAUAACUGAAGUAUGAUAAUAUACUAAUUGCCUCAAGUUUUAUCAGAUAUCUAAAUUUUAUUUUUUGCUUAAAUUGGAAGAAUCAGACAUUUGAAAAGAUA